UACAGGCUUAACACAUGCAAGUCGAGGGGCAGCAUGGUCUUAGCUUGCUAAGACUGAUGGCGACCGGCGCACGGGUGAGUAACACGUAUCCAACCUGCCGUCUACUCUUGGACAGCCUUCUGAAAGGAAGAUUAAUACAAGAUGGCAUCAUGAGUCCGCAUGUUCACAUGAUUAAAGGUAUUCCGGUAGACGAUGGGGAUGCGUUCCAUUAGAUAGUAGGCGGGGUAACGGCCCACCUAGUCUUCGAUGGAUAGGGGUUCUGAGAGGAAGGUCCCCCACAUUGGAACUGAGACACGGUCCAAACUCCUACGGGAGGCAGCAGUGAGGAAUAUUGGUCAAUGGGCGAGAGCCUGAACCAGCCAAGUAGCGUGAAGGAUGACUGCCCUAUGGGUUGUAAACUUCUUUUAUAAAGGAAUAAAGUCGGGUAUGGAUACCCGUUUGCAUGUACUUUAUGAAUAAGGAUCGGCUAACUCCGUGCCAGCAGCCGCGGUAAUACGGAGGAUCCGAGCGUUAUCCGGAUUUAUUGGGUUUAAAGGGAGCGUAGAUGGAUGUUUAAGUCAGUUGUGAAAGUUUGCGGCUCAACCGUAAAAUUGCAGUUGAUACUGGAUAUCUUGAGUGCAGUUGAGGCAGGCGGACUUCGUGGUGUAGCGGUGAAAUGCUUAGAUAUCACGAAGAACUCCGAUUGCGAAGGCAGCCUGCUAAGCUGCAACUGACAUUGAGGCUCGAAAGUGUGGGUAUCAAACAGGAUUAGAUACCCUGGUAGUCCACACGGUAAACGAUGAAUACUCGCUGUUUGCGAUAUACUGCAAGCGGCCAAGCGAAAGCGUUAAGUAUUCCACCUGGGGAGUACGCCGGCAACGGUGAAACUCAAAGGAAUUGACGGGGGCCCGCACAAGCGGAGGAACAUGUGGUUUAAUUCGAUGAUACGCGAGGAACCUUACCCGGGCUUAAAUUGCAGAUGAAUUACGGUGAAAGCCGUAAGCCGCAAGGCAUCUGUGAAGGUGCUGCAUGGUUGUCGUCAGCUCGUGCCGUGAGGUGUCGGCUUAAGUGCCAUAACGAGCGCAACCCUUGUUGUCAGUUACUAACAGGUUCCGCUGAGGACUCUGACAAGACUGCCAUCGUAAGAUGUGAGGAAGGUGGGGAUGACGUCAAAUCAGCACGGCCCUUACGUCCGGGGCUACACACGUGUUACAAUGGGGGGUACAGAGGGCCGCUACCACGCGAGUGGAUGCCAAUCCCAAAAACCUCUCUCAGUUCGGACUGGAGUCUGCAACCCGACUCCACGAAGCUGGAUUCGCUAGUAAUCGCGCAUCAGCCACGGCGCGGUGAAUACGUUCCCGGGCCUUGUACACACCGCCCGUCAAGCCAUGGGAGCCGGGGGUACCUGAAGUGCGUAACCGCGAGGAGCGCCCUAGGGUAAAACUGGUGACUGGGGCUAAGUCAUA
Molecule: ribosomal RNA, 1445 nt
Filed under: uncultured organism
Description: SSU rRNA
Rfam family: Bacterial small subunit ribosomal RNA
Source: RNAcentral